UUGAGAAGGAGUUGGGAGUGAGUGUGGAGAGAAGGAAGGUACCAUUUCUGUCAACACGUUGCGUACUCCCUACACUGCUCCUGGUGAGAGUGAGAUUCUG
This 100-nucleotide small RNA is filed under the name Pan troglodytes (chimpanzee). RNAcentral's name for it is "processed transcript". RNAcentral also lists the same sequence under 1 other name. Lineage: Eukaryota; Metazoa; Chordata; Mammalia; Primates; Hominidae. The record is from RNAcentral.